AACGAACGCUGGCGGCAUGCCUAACACAUGCAAGUCGAACGAGAUCUUCGGGUCUAGUGGCGCACGGGUGCGUAACGCGUGGGAAUCUGCCCUUUGGUUCGGAAUAACAGUUGGAAACGACUGCUAAUACCGGAUGAUGACGAAAGUCCAAAGAUUUAUCGCCAGAGGAUGAGCCCGCGUAGGAUUAGCUAGUUGGUGUGGUAAAGGCGCACCAAGGCGACGAUCCUCAGCUGGUCUGAGAGGAUGAUCAGCCACACUGGGACUGAGACACGGCCCAGACUCCUACGGGAGGCAGCAGUGGGGAAUAUUGGACAAUGGGCGAAAGCCUGAUCCAGCAAUGCCGCGUGAGUGAUGAAGGCCUUAGGGUUGUAAAGCUCUUUUACCCGGGAUGAUAAUGACAGUACCGGGAGAAUUAGCUCCGGCUAACUCCGUGCCAGCAGCCGCCGUAA
This 449-nucleotide ribosomal RNA is filed under the name uncultured bacterium. RNAcentral describes it as "partial 16S ribosomal RNA". It matches the Rfam family "Bacterial small subunit ribosomal RNA", at positions 29 to 523 of the family's 1533-position model. The record is from RNAcentral.